Molecule: non-coding RNA, 21 nt
Filed under: Caenorhabditis elegans
Lineage: Eukaryota; Metazoa; Nematoda; Chromadorea; Rhabditida; Rhabditidae
Source: RNAcentral
UGUCAAGAGUUGUUCACAAAU